GNUGAGUAAUGUAUAGGAAUCUACCUAGUAGUACGGAAUAAUUGUUGGAAACGGCAACUAAUACCGUAUACGCCCUACGGGGGAAAAAUUUAUUGCUAUUAGAUGAGCCUAUAUUAGAUUAGUUAGUUGGUGAGCUAAAGGCUUACCAGGACAAUGAUCUAUAGCUGAUCUGAGAGGAUGAUCAGCCACACUGGAACUGAGAUACGGUCCAGACUCCUACGGGAGGCAGCAGUGGGGAAUAUUGGACAAUGGGCGAAAGCCUGAUCCAGCCAUGCCGCAUGAGUGAAGAAGGCCUUCGGGUUGUAAAGCUCUUUUAGUGAGGAAGAUAAUGACGGUACUCACAGAAGAAGUCCUGGCUAACUCUGUGCCAGCAGCCGCGGUAAUACGGAGAGGGCUAGCGUUAUUCGGAAUCAUUGGGCGUAAAGGGCGCGUAGGCGGGUUAAUAAGUUAAAAGUGAAAUCCCAAGGCUCAACCUUGGAACUGCUUUUAAAACUGCUAGUCUAGAGAUUGAAAGAGGAUAGAGGAAUUCCUAGUGUAGAGGUGAAAUUCGUAAAUAUUANGAGGAACACCAGUGGCGAANGCGUCUAUCUGGNUUCAAAUCUGACGCUGAGGCGCGAAGGCGUGGGGAGCAAA
RNAcentral lists this ribosomal RNA (633 nucleotides) under uncultured Wolbachia sp. Its description in RNAcentral is "bacterial SSU rRNA". It matches the Rfam family "Bacterial small subunit ribosomal RNA", at positions 105 to 772 of the family's 1533-position model. The record is from RNAcentral. Lineage: Bacteria; Pseudomonadati; Pseudomonadota; Alphaproteobacteria; Rickettsiales; Anaplasmataceae.